This 31-nucleotide non-coding RNA is filed under the name Rattus norvegicus (Norway rat). The record is from RNAcentral. Lineage: Eukaryota; Metazoa; Chordata; Mammalia; Rodentia; Muridae.
UGGUACAGUUCAGCCUCAGCAACAUGCCAGU